Molecule: non-coding RNA, 29 nt
Filed under: Mus musculus (house mouse)
Lineage: Eukaryota; Metazoa; Chordata; Mammalia; Rodentia; Muridae
Source: RNAcentral
UAAUAAAGAGUUCAUGGGAAUGGAUUAAA